GAUGAACGCUAGCGGCAGGCCUAAUACAUGCAAGUCGAGGGAGAAUGUUGGAUUCGUCUGACAUGAAACCGGCGCACGGGUGCGUAACACGUAUGCAACCUACCUUUAACUGGGGUAUAGCUCAGAGAAAUCUGAAUUAAUCCCCCAUAAGACUACGACAUGGCAUCAUGAUAUAGUUAAAGCUCCGGCGGUUAAGGAUGGGCAUGCGGUACAUUAGCUAGUUGGUGAGGUAAUGGCUCACCAAGGCUACGAUGUAUAGGAGGUCUGAGAGGAUGGUCCCCCACACUGGUACUUAGACACGGACCAGACUCCUACGGGAGGCAGCAGUAGGGAAUAUUGGUCAAUGGACGCAAGUCUGAACCAGCCAUGCCGCGUGAAGGAUGAAGGCCCUAUGGGUCGUAAACUUCUUUUAUUAGGGAAGAAAAAACGGGAUGCGUCCUGUACUGACGGUACUUAAUGAAUAAGGAUCGGCUAACUUCGUGCCAGCAGCCGCUGUAA
Molecule: ribosomal RNA, 498 nt
Filed under: uncultured bacterium
Lineage: Bacteria
Description: partial 16S ribosomal RNA
Rfam family: Bacterial small subunit ribosomal RNA
Source: RNAcentral